Molecule: ribosomal RNA, 484 nt
Filed under: uncultured bacterium
Lineage: Bacteria
Description: partial 16S ribosomal RNA
Rfam family: Bacterial small subunit ribosomal RNA
Source: RNAcentral
AUUGAACGCUGGCGGCAGGCCUAACACAUGCAAGUCGAGCGGAUGAAGGGAGCUUGCUCCUGGAUUCAGCGGCGGACGGGUGAGUAAUGCCUAGGAAUCUGCCUGGUAGUGGGGGAUAACGUCCGGAAACGGGCGCUAAUACCGCAUACGUCCUGAGGGAGAAAGUGGGGGAUCUUCGGACCUCACGCUAUCAGAUGAGCCUAGGUCGGAUUAGCUAGUUGGUGGGGUAAAGGCCUACCAAGGCGACGAUCCGUAACUGAUCUGAGAGGAUGAUCAGUCACACUGGAACUGAGACACGGUCCAGACUCCUACGGGAGGCAGCAGUAGGGAAUAUUGGGCAAUGGGCGAAAGCCUGAUCCAGCCAUGCCGCGUGUGUGAAGAAGGUCUUCGGAUUGUAAAGCACUUUAAGUUGGGAGGAAGGGCAGUAAGUUAAUACCUUGCUGUUUUGACGUUACCAACAGAAUAAGCACCGGCUAACUACGUG